Cetobacterium somerae ATCC BAA-474 is the source of this 45-nucleotide non-coding RNA. The record is from Rfam. Lineage: Bacteria; Fusobacteriati; Fusobacteriota; Fusobacteriia; Fusobacteriales; Fusobacteriaceae.
AUAGUGGAGUUUUUUAACUCCACUUUUUUUAGCAAAAAAUAAAAG